AACACAUGCAAGUCGAACGGAAACGAUGGAAGCUUGCUUCCAGGCGUCGAGUGGCGGACGGGUGAGUAAUACUUAGGAAUCUGCCCAAUAGUGGGGGACAACUCGAGGAAACUCGAGCUAAUACCGCAUACGCCCUACGGGGGAAAGCGGAGGAUCUUUCGGGACUUCGCGCUAUUGGAUGAGCCUAAGUCGGAUUAGCUUGUUGGUGAGGUAAAAGCUCACCAAGGCGACGAUCCGUAGCUGGUCUGAGAGGACGAUCAGCCACACUGGGACUGAGACACGGCCCAGACUCCUACGGGAGGCAGCAGUGGGGAAUAUUGGACAAUGGGGGCAACCCUGAUCCAGCAAUGCCGCGUGUGUGAAGAAGGCCUGCGGGUUGUAAAGCACUUUCAGUAGAGAAGAAAAGCUUACGGUUAAUACCCGUGAGUCUUGACGUAACCUACAGAAGAAGCUCCGGCUAACUCCGUGCCAGCAGCCGCGGUAAUACGGAGGGAGCGAGCGUUAAUCGGAAUUACUGGGCGUAAAGCGCGCGUAGGCGGCUUUGUAAGUCGGAUGUGAAAGCCCAGGGCUCAACCCUGGAAUUGCAUUCGAUACUGCAGAACUAGAGUAUGGUAGAGGGAAGUGGAAUUUCCGGUGUAGCGGUGAAAUGCGUAGAUAUCGGAAGGAACACCA
This 672-nucleotide ribosomal RNA is filed under the name uncultured bacterium. Its description in RNAcentral is "bacterial SSU rRNA". It matches the Rfam family "Bacterial small subunit ribosomal RNA", at positions 50 to 711 of the family's 1533-position model. The record is from RNAcentral.